RNAcentral lists this ribosomal RNA (486 nucleotides) under uncultured bacterium. RNAcentral's name for it is "partial 16S ribosomal RNA". It matches the Rfam family "Bacterial small subunit ribosomal RNA", at positions 28 to 507 of the family's 1533-position model. The record is from RNAcentral.
GAUGAACGCUGGCGGCGUGCUUAACACAUGCAAGUCGAACGAAGAACUUUAGUUGAUUUCGUGCGGGACUGAGUAGUUUGUGACUGAAUGGCGGACGGGUGAGUAACGCGUGGGUAACCUGACUUGUACAGGGGGGGGAUAGUUGGGAAUGGGUGCUCAUGCCGCAUAAUCGCACGGCGAAGCAUGAGGCGGUGGGGGAAGGUCCGGUGGUAUAUGAUGGAGUCGCGGUGGGUUAGCUUGUUGGUGUGGUAGUGGGGUACCAAGGCGUUGAACGAUAGCGGGCCUUAGAGGAUGACCGGCCACCUUGGGUCUGAGAUACGGCCCAGCCUCCUACGGGAGGGAGCAGUGGGGAAUAUUAUACAGUGGGCGGGAGCAUGCUGCAGCAACGCCGCGUGCGGGAUGACGGCAUUCGGGUUGUAAACAGCUUUCGCCUGUGACGAAGCGUGAGUGACGGUACUGGGUAUAGAAGCACCGGCUAACUCCGUG